This 520-nucleotide long non-coding RNA is filed under the name Musa acuminata (dwarf banana). RNAcentral describes it as "long non-coding RNA (MACU_LNC010120)". The record is from RNAcentral. Lineage: Eukaryota; Viridiplantae; Streptophyta; Magnoliopsida; Zingiberales; Musaceae.
AAAGGGGAGUUUCGGGCCAUUUUCUCUUUUCGGGCAAGAGGAUCUUCCGUUUCUUAUUCUGCGUUCUAUAGAUUCAAUGUUUUAGUGUGUUUACUUCUUUCUAGACACUAUGCUAUGCUAUGCUAAAUGAUUUGAAACGCCCAGUUGAGUUCGUAGAAACCACUAUGAUGCUACUAAGAAAAGGAGUUCUGUUAGUGAAUUACUAUAAGGCCGGGCUUUGGGGAAGUUCGUUUUCUUUUCCAUUCUUCUUUUAUAUAAAUGCUUUAAUAAAAGAUUGUUUGACUUUUGCGCUAAUGGAGCUCACCCUCCGGCAUUAGUCAGCUUUGGAGUUCAAGAGUCAGCUAUGUUUUGUUAAUCUCUUACAUGAUGCGUGCACACCAUCUGCUUUUCAACAAGCAAACAAGCAAGACCAGGACUUGGGCACUGGGUAUUCUCUUUCUUCCCUUAGUAACUGAUAUUCUUAUAUAUUAAUUCCGCAAGUAAGCUUCUGUGAGUUCCGCUUCUCAUACCUAUUGCUCCC